RNAcentral lists this small nuclear RNA (97 nucleotides) under Propithecus coquereli (Coquerel's sifaka). Its description in RNAcentral is "U5 spliceosomal RNA (ENSPCOG00000010493.1)". It matches the Rfam family "U5 spliceosomal RNA". Rfam says of the family: U5 RNA is a component of both types of known spliceosome. The precise function of this molecule is unknown, though it is known that the 5' loop is required for splice site selection and p220 binding, and that both the 3' stem-loop and the Sm site are important for Sm protein binding and cap methylation. Lineage: Eukaryota; Metazoa; Chordata; Mammalia; Primates; Indriidae. The record is from RNAcentral.
CUUUUCUUCAGAGUGCAUAAAUCUUUCGUCUUUUACUAAAGAUUUUCAUGGAGAGGAAAUUUUAAUGAAUUUUUCGAGGCCUUGCCUUGUCAGGGCU